GAAAAGCCCGCGGCACGCAGCGUGGCCGGCCAGGUGCACAGGCCCCAGUCCCUGGGGCCCGCAGGGAGCGCCGGGCCGCGAGCCCCUCCGGCCGGCCUGGGCGGCACCUACCUCCCAGCAGCAGCAGGACGCAGGCGUAGAGCAGCAUGGCUGCGGGCGGCGCCGUCGGGCAGGAGGGAGGCGGAGACGCGACGGCGCGGCCCGCGGCUGCCGCGGAGAAGUCUCGAGGGUCCCGCGCCCGCUCUCACCCUGCCUGGCCGCGGAGUUAGAAGCCGAGAGCCGAGCCGCGCACUCAUAGGUCCGAGGCCAGAAGAGGUGGAGACAGCGCGGCCAGCGCUCGCCCUGGCGCGCCCCCUGUGAGACCCCGGGCCCCGGUCUCCCCGAGGCUGCAGUGCACAAGAAGGGCUCCCCAAACUGUGUCCGCUAAGCCCAGCGGUGCCUGCCCAGCGCCGGGGCGCGCCCAGGCCAGGCCGCUCCCGGGACCCCUGAAGUUUCUGUCCGGGCCUUCCAGAUACUCCUGGAAAAGUCGCGUCAAGUUGGAGCCCGCAAGCCCAGGAGCGCAGCGAAAGGGGCCAGGCCAGGGCGCCCCGCAGCCGGCAGCCGCGCUCUGUAGUUAGCCGUCCCCAGCUUCGCCGCCCAGGCAAAGUGUGGAGCCAACGAGGGCGGGUUUCCUCCCCCACCCCCAACGCCUCCUCCUGCCACCACCCCGCAGUUCUCCUCAGGGUGAGUCAGCUUAGGGUGGCAGCUCCGAGGCCAGGCAGCUGCGAGGGGGAGGACGAACCGGAUGCCUCCAAACUGGUCCCUGCGGAUCCCACCCUGGCACCGGGCCUCCCUGGUGGCAUCCUGUUUGGCAGGCCAGCCUCGAAGAAAGAGGAUUACAUUUCAUGGCAUGGUCAGCUCCGCUCCAAGUCUGAAGAGCCAGUGGAAAUGCACAUGCCACAACAGCCUUACUCAGCAGAUCUUGAGAGUGUUGGGAAGCCUGAUUCUGUGGCAUCCUCUGCAUCUUAGCUAAGCCCCACAAGGGCACAGAGCUCAGGACAAUGUGUGAAGCUAGAAGGGACACUGGCGGGAGUGGUCUAGCACUCUGCAUUGCACAGCUGAGAAGACAGAAGCCCAGGGCAGCUGAGACAGCUACACCUACCUGAGUGGAGAAAUAUGAACUUCACUCCAAAAAAGUUAAAAAAAAAAAAAAAACCUCCAAAGAAAAUGGACAACAAAUGGUGUUUUAACAGGACUCUCCUUGAGUUACCAGGAGAUAAGAAUGGAAGAAGGAACUGAAGC
RNAcentral lists this long non-coding RNA (1281 nucleotides) under Heterocephalus glaber (naked mole-rat). RNAcentral's name for it is "lncRNA (ENSHGLG00000049673.1)". Lineage: Eukaryota; Metazoa; Chordata; Mammalia; Rodentia; Bathyergidae. The record is from RNAcentral.